RNAcentral lists this ribosomal RNA (584 nucleotides) under Aureobasidium pullulans. RNAcentral's name for it is "partial large subunit ribosomal RNA". It matches the Rfam family "Eukaryotic large subunit ribosomal RNA", at positions 71 to 670 of the family's 3401-position model. Lineage: Eukaryota; Fungi; Ascomycota; Dothideomycetes; Dothideales; Saccotheciaceae. The record is from RNAcentral.
GGGUUUGCCCUAGUAACGGCGAGUGAAGCGGCAACAGCUCAAAUUUGAAAGCUAGCCUUCGGGUUCGCAUUGUAAUUUGUAGAGGAUGAUUUGGGGAAGCCGCCUGUCUAAGUUCCUUGGAACAGGACGUCAUAGAGGGUGAGAAUCCCGUAUGUGACAGGAAAUGGCACCCUAUGUAAAUCUCCUUCGACGAGUCGAGUUGUUUGGGAAUGCAGCUCUAAAUGGGAGGUAAAUUUCUUCUAAAGCUAAAUAUUGGCGAGAGACCGAUAGCGCACAAGUAGAGUGAUCGAAAGAUGAAAAGCACUUUGGAAAGAGAGUUAAAAAGCACGUGAAAUUGUUGAAAGGGAAGCGCUUGCAAUCAGACUUGUUUAAACUGUUCGGCCGGUCUUCUGACCGGUUUACUCAGUUUGGACAGGCCAGCAUCAGUUUCGGCGGCCGGAUAAAGGCUCUGGGAAUGUGGCCUCCACUUCGGUGGAGGUGUUAUAGCCCAGGGUGUAAUACGGCCAGCCGGGACUGAGGUCCGCGCUUCGGCUAGGAUGCUGGCGUAAUGGUUGUAAGCGACCCGUCUUGAACCACGGACCAAA